GCUUAACACAUGCAAGUCGCGGGGCAGCACGAGGUAGCAAUACUUUGGUGGCGACCGGCAGACGGGUGAGUAACGCGUAUGUAACCUACCCUGUACUGGCGGAUAACCCGGAGAAAUUCGGACUAAUACCCCAUAGAAAUAUAGAGAGGCAUCUUGAAAUAUUUAAAGUUUCGACGGUACGGGAUGGGCAUGCGUAACAUUAGCUAGUUGGUAAGGUAACGGCUUACCAAGGCUUUGAUGUUUAGGGGUCCUGAGAGGGUGAUCCCCCACACUGGUACUGAGACACGGACCAGACUCCUACGGGAGGCAGCAGUGAGGAAUAUUGGUCAAUGGGCGAAAGCCUGACCCAGCCAUGCCGCGUGCAGGAAGACGGCCCUAUGGGUUGUAAACUGCUUUUGUAAGGGAAUAAACCCGAGGACGUGUCCUCGGCUG
This 432-nucleotide ribosomal RNA is filed under the name uncultured Bacteroidota bacterium. RNAcentral describes it as "bacterial SSU rRNA". It matches the Rfam family "Bacterial small subunit ribosomal RNA", at positions 46 to 471 of the family's 1533-position model. The record is from RNAcentral. Lineage: Bacteria; Pseudomonadati; Bacteroidota.